AUACGGACGGUGCAAGCGUUAUUCGGAAUCACUGGGCGUAAAGGACGCGUAGGCGGGUUGGCAAGUCAGAUGUGAAAUCCUACAGCUUAACUGUAGAACUGCAUUUGAAACUGCUAACCUAGAGUAUGGGAGAGGGAGAUGGAAUUAGUGGUGUAGGGGUAAAAUCCGUAGAUAUCACUAGGAAUACCGAAAGCGAAGGCGAUCUCCUGGAACAUAACUGACGCUAAGGCGUGAAAGCGUGGGGAGCAAACAGGAUUAGAUACCCUAGUAGUCC
RNAcentral lists this ribosomal RNA (274 nucleotides) under uncultured bacterium. RNAcentral's name for it is "partial 16S ribosomal RNA". It matches the Rfam family "Bacterial small subunit ribosomal RNA", at positions 523 to 796 of the family's 1533-position model. The record is from RNAcentral.